GUACCUCUAGCUCAGCUGGAUAGAGCGUUUGGCUACGGACCAAAAGGUCAGGGGUUCGAAUCCUCUGAGGUACGCCA
Molecule: transfer RNA, 77 nt
Filed under: Aedoeadaptatus ivorii
Lineage: Bacteria; Bacillati; Bacillota; Tissierellia; Tissierellales; Peptoniphilaceae
Description: Peptoniphilus ivorii tRNA-Arg(acg)
Rfam family: tRNA
About the family: Transfer RNA (tRNA) molecules are approximately 80 nucleotides in length. Their secondary structure includes four short double-helical elements and three loops (D, anti-codon, and T loops). Further hydrogen bonds mediate the characteristic L-shaped molecular structure. tRNAs have two regions of fundamental functional importance: the anti-codon, which is responsible for specific mRNA codon recognition, and the 3' end, to which the tRNAs corresponding amino acid is attached (by aminoacyl-tRNA synthetases). tRNAs cope with the degeneracy of the genetic code in two manners: having more than one tRNA (with a specific anti-codon) for a particular amino acid; and 'wobble' base-pairing, i.e. permitting non-standard base-pairing at the 3rd anti-codon position.
Source: RNAcentral